CGGAUACGACACCGCGUGCUACAACUGCAGUCUAACGCUAUUAUAGAGUGGCGCACGGGUGAGUAACGCGUGGGAACCUGCCUUUUUCUGCGGGAUAACGGUUGGAAACGACCGCUAAUACCGCAUACGCCCUACGGGGGAAAGGUCCGCCGGAGAAAGAGGGCCCGCGUCUGAUUAGCUAGUUGGUGGGGUAACGGCCUACCAAGGCGACGAUCAGUAGCUGGUCUGAGAGGAUGAUCAGCCACACUGGGACUGAGACACGGCCCAGACUCCUACGGGAGGCAGCAGUGGGGAAUAUUGGACAAUGGGGGCAACCCUGAUCCAGCAAUGCCGCGUGUGUGAUGAAGGCCUUAGGGUUGUAAAGCACUUUCACUGGUGAAGAUGAUGACGGUAACCAGAGAAGAAGCCCCGGCUAACUUCGUGCCAGCAGCCGCGGUAAUACGAAGGGGGCGAGCGUUGUUCGGAAUUACUGGGCGUAAAGGGCGCGUAGGCGGUCUU
RNAcentral lists this ribosomal RNA (498 nucleotides) under uncultured Planctomycetota bacterium. RNAcentral's name for it is "bacterial SSU rRNA". It matches the Rfam family "Bacterial small subunit ribosomal RNA", at positions 30 to 582 of the family's 1533-position model. The record is from RNAcentral. Lineage: Bacteria; Pseudomonadati; Planctomycetota.